RNAcentral lists this long non-coding RNA (1217 nucleotides) under Homo sapiens (human). RNAcentral describes it as "non-protein coding lnc-INAVA-1:1". The record is from RNAcentral. Lineage: Eukaryota; Metazoa; Chordata; Mammalia; Primates; Hominidae.
GGGGUGGGGGCGCUGGACGCAGACCACGUUAGAACCUCGGCUCCUGGAGUAGCAGAACCUCGGCUUCAAUGGGACCCUCAUUUCAUAAAUGAAGAAACUGAGAUUCAAAGAGGGGAACUACCGAAGGUUACAGAGCGAGUUCGUGGGCUUCCCAGAUGACCACCAAGGUGGAAGGGAUGAUGAUGUCCAGGCAGAAGGGAGCUAGGCCGGCCCAGGCUUUUCCUCUAGGCACAGCGGACUCCAGGUUCAGCCUUCCCGGAUGGUAAUGUUGCAUUCUGAAGAGCUACUUUCCCGCCAACUCAUCUCUGGACUUCUCUGGGGCCCAACUCUGGUUUCCUGCCUGCAGGAGGUCCCCUCUGACUUCCGACAGUAGAUGACCCUUCUGACUCACAGUUCUACUGCUGGGAAAUGCCUCCAGAGCUGCUGCCCACCCUCUCUGCAUCCCUCCAGGUCACUGGGUGUUGAGUCAGGGGAAGCAGGGAUACACACGGGCGGGAAACUCAGGUCUCCUAAAUGUCAGAGCCUCAGGACUUCGGCUACUCAGAAGUAGCUCCCUCCUGGGCCACCAGGGAGCAGCAGGGCAGCCAGCAUCCAGACAUCCCCCCUGGGUUCUGCUGCUCAGAGGCUAGAUGGAGAACCAAGGUGGGAAAAAGGCUUAAACCACAGCGUGGGGAGAUUUAGGUUAGAUGGGUCAGAGGAAGUUUAGGACAAGCCUUGCCCUUUUCAGUUUCUGUCCAGCUUCAGCACAGCCACUGCUUCCUCUCUUUGGUUUUUACCCAUCCCCCUCUCUCCCAUCACCUCUAUCCCCUUCCAGCUUUCCUUUCCUUCCCUCCUUCCCAAACCCCAGAGUUUCUCAGGAUUAGCUGCCCGUGUGCCUAUCUCCCCCACCCCCAUGCUUUCCUCACUGUCUCACAGAAACAGGCAAACACACACACAUGCAUACAACCAUGAGCUGGCCCUGAGAGUUCUCUGACUGGACUGGGGUUGGAGCCCCAGCUCUUGUCCUGAGCUGAGGCCCUUCCCCCAGGUAUCUUGGGGCUUCCAUCAUUUCUCUUGACAGGAGCUGUGGGCGUCUGGGCAGAUGGGAACCUGGGGGAGGUGUGGGGAGCCCUCUCUGAGGCAGGAAGCUCCCACGCUACUGUAGUUAAAAUAAUCCGGCAGCAACUUGGGGCAGCCAUCUGGGAUGCCCAGAUCUUCCAGGACACCCAGCUCUCAAC